CCGAGGCCACGCCCCAGAGCCAGGUGCCAGGCGGCAUGGGGCAGACAGGGAAACGGAGGUGGAAAGAGGAGGAGGGCCACGCCCUCUGCCCGUUGCUUAUUCACUCAGCAAUAGCUUCCCGUGGCCCCGUCAAUCUUGUGUCCAGCUUUCCCCGUAUCUGGGUCCUUGUCAUUCCAGCCAGGGGACCUCUCCUGAGAAGAGGGUGCCUUGUCCAGGGCAGCAGGCCAUUUCCGCCCGGGACACUUCAUGAGUGCCAGCGGCAGAUAAGGGAGGCGCAUUCCAGGCCGAGACCUGUCCUGCCCUCCCGGCUCCAGCCUCCCACGCCGCAGCCAGGCUGUCUACAGAGGGCACUGUGGGCACUGCGUCCCUUAGCGCCAGGGACGGGACAAGGGCAAAAGGCAGGGCCCUAUUCCCGCUGGUGCCGACUCCGGUCUCAGGCCUCAGACCACCGUGCCUCCAGCGCCUGGAGAGUGAGCAGGAAACGCGACCCAAACCCCGACUGUGAAGCAGCCAGUCUGGGGGCGCCGGGCCUGCGCCCCACAUAGGCUCAGGGCCACGCUGGAGUGCCCAGGCCAGCACCGCAGGCCCUGUGCCCAUCGGCACGGGACGCCUGGCCCAGGCUGUGAAAGCAAGCCUGCCACUCCGCUGCACACCCACUGCCCGUCAGCCCGACUUCUGCCCAGAGGGAAAGGCCUGGCCCGCCCUGCACCUACCCACAGGUCCCCUAUCUCCCGGAUGUUGCUCCGGACCUUGUGCAGCACGUGGCAGAACUUCCAGCUGAGGAUGGAGCUGCUGGGCAGCGGCAGGCCAAUGGCGUAGGACCAGAAGGUGAAGGCCCCCUUCUCAUGGUGCGUGCCCAGGAUGAUGCCUACAAGGUCAAGGCCAAGUCCAGGCACAGAGAUGGGGCCAGGGGCUCGAGAUGCUUCGGCAACACAGUCAAG
Molecule: long non-coding RNA, 941 nt
Filed under: Heterocephalus glaber (naked mole-rat)
Lineage: Eukaryota; Metazoa; Chordata; Mammalia; Rodentia; Bathyergidae
Description: lncRNA (ENSHGLG00100038093.1)
Source: RNAcentral